UCCUAUAUUCAGAGAGCAAGAGUGGAAGCAGGGAGACAAGUCAAAGAGCUGUUCAAUAUCCAGGUAAGGCUGUCAAUGACUCCAGGACAAGACUUGAAAAAGUGAAUUGAAUAACAGCCCCAAGGACUCAGCAGUUUCAAAAGUCUGAAUGUGCAAUGAAGACACUGGCGCCUGUCACAAGGGGCUCCCAGCAGUCAUUGGCCUCCAGGGUGGCCUUCCACCAAGCAAACCUGCCUAAGCCACUGAGCCUCCUCUUUCUGAUAUUUUCACAAGCCCCCCCUUGCUGUGGAGAUGAAAUCCAGUGUACAGGACCUCCAGGA
Long non-coding RNA from Hyaena hyaena (striped hyena), 320 nucleotides. RefSeq lists it as uncharacterized. The record is from RefSeq and is a predicted model, not a curated record. NCBI's taxonomy places the organism in Eukaryota, Metazoa, Chordata, Mammalia, Carnivora, Hyaenidae. The transcript has 3 exons.